GGAUGAACAGCAUUACCCCAGAUAGCUAAGCCAUGGAGCCUGUUCGUGUAACGAAAGACUAUGGAAAAGACUUUGGCUCCAUGGUGAUUGAACUAUAUGUAUGUGAUCUGAGCGCCAUUCGGUAGUAAUAUGCGCUCAGAUCUAAGCUAUCUGGGGAUAUGUAGAAUGUCUAUUUUUUAUGUAAUAAAUGUGACUGUAUGUAAU
Pelobates cultripes (western spadefoot toad) is the source of this 204-nucleotide non-coding RNA. Lineage: Eukaryota; Metazoa; Chordata; Amphibia; Anura; Pelobatidae. The record is from the annotation of a GenBank genome assembly.